RNAcentral lists this ribosomal RNA (456 nucleotides) under uncultured bacterium. Its description in RNAcentral is "bacterial SSU rRNA". It matches the Rfam family "Bacterial small subunit ribosomal RNA", at positions 340 to 786 of the family's 1533-position model. The record is from RNAcentral.
UACGGAAGGCAGCAGUGGGGAAUAUUGCACAAUGGGCGAAAGCCUGAUGCAGCUAUGCCGCGUGUAUGAAGAAGGCCUUAGGGUUGUAAAGUACUUUCAUCGGGGAGGAAAAACAAAACUAAUAAUUUUAUUUCUUGACGUUACCCGAAAAAGAAGCACCGGCUAACUCCGUGCCAGCAGCCGCGGUAAUACGGAGGGUGCUAGCGUUAAUCAGAAUUACUGGGCGUAAAGAGCACGUAGGUGGUUUUUUUAAAGUCAGAUGUGAAAUCCCUGGGCUUAACCUGGAACUGCAUUUUGAAACUGAAAUACUAGAGUAUCGUAGAGGGAGGUAGAAUUCUAGGUGUAGCGGUGAAAUGCGUAGAUAUCUGGAGGAAUACCUGUGGCGAAAGCGGCCUCCUAAACGAAUACUGACACUGAGGUGCGAAAGCGUGGGGAGCAAACAGGGAUUAGGAUACC